CGCCCAACAGCUAGCCCACCUAAACAAAUUCAACAAGCCCCUGUAAAUACCCCCUAAAUACCCCAGUAUUUAAAUUAAACAAACCAUUUUUCCCCCUUAGUAUAGGCGAUAGAAAAGGGACUACGGCGCAAUAGAGAAAGUACCGCAAGGGAAUGCUGAAAGAGAAAUGAAACAACCCAGUAAAGCCCAAAGAAGCAGAGCUUUAAACUCGUACCUUUUGCAUCAUGAUUUAGCGAGUGUACCCCAAGCAAAGAGCACUUUAGUUUGACGUCCCGAAACUACGUGAGCUACUCCAAGACAGCCUAUUAAUAGGGCCUACCCGUCUCUGUUGCAAAAGAGUGGGGAGAGCUUUGAGUAGAGGUGACAAACCUACCGAACCUAGUUAUAGCUGGUUGUCCAAGAAAUGAAUAGAAGUUCAGCCUCUUGGCUUCUCUUUUCACCCUAGUUUAACCCCUAUUGAUGCACUAAAGAAACUGAGAGAGUUAGUCAAAGGGGGUACAGCCCCUUUGAAUCAAGACACAACUUUACCAGGAGGGUAAAGAUCAUA
RNAcentral lists this ribosomal RNA (547 nucleotides) under Myoxocephalus octodecemspinosus (longhorn sculpin). RNAcentral describes it as "partial 16S ribosomal RNA". It matches the Rfam family "Bacterial large subunit ribosomal RNA", at positions 145 to 1050 of the family's 2925-position model. Lineage: Eukaryota; Metazoa; Chordata; Actinopteri; Perciformes; Cottidae. The record is from RNAcentral.